RNAcentral lists this ribosomal RNA (420 nucleotides) under bacterium. Its description in RNAcentral is "partial 16S ribosomal RNA". It matches the Rfam family "Bacterial small subunit ribosomal RNA", at positions 355 to 776 of the family's 1533-position model. The record is from RNAcentral.
UGGGGGAUAUUGCACAAUGGGCGAAAGCCUGAUGCAGCGACGCCGCGUGGGGGAUGAAGGCUUUCGGGUUGUAAACCUCUUUCGCUAUCGAACAAGGCCCGCUUAGGGUGGGUUGAGGGUAGGUGGAGAAGAAGCGCCGGCUAACUACGUGCCAGCAGCCGCGGUAAUACGUAGGGCGCGAGCGUUGUCCGGAAUUAUUGGGCGUAAAGGGCUUGUAGGCGGCUUGUUGCGCCUGCUGUGAAAACGCGGGGCUUAACUUCGCGCGUGCAGUGGGUACGGGCAGGAUUGAGUGUGGUAGGGGUGACUGGAAUUCCAGGUGUAGCGGUGGAAUGCGGAGAUAUCUGGAGGAACACCGAUGGCGAAGACGGGUCACUGGGCCAUUACUGACGCUGAGGAGCGAAAGCAUGGGUAGCGAACAGG